UACGUAGGGUGCGAGCGUUAAUCGGAAUUACUGGGCGUAAAGUGUGCGCAGGUGGCUGAGCAAGUCGAGUGUGAAAUCCCCGGGCUUAACUUGGGAAUUGCGCUCGAAACUACUUGGCUCGAGUGUGGCAGAGGAAGGUGGAAUUCCAGGUGUAGCGGUGAAAUGCGUAGAGAUCUGGAGGAACACCGGUGGCGAAGGCAGCCUUCUGGGCCAACACUGACGCUCAUGCACGAAAGCGUGGGGAGCAAACAGG
Molecule: ribosomal RNA, 253 nt
Filed under: uncultured bacterium
Lineage: Bacteria
Description: partial 16S ribosomal RNA
Rfam family: Bacterial small subunit ribosomal RNA
Source: RNAcentral